This 32-nucleotide non-coding RNA is filed under the name Mus musculus (house mouse). Lineage: Eukaryota; Metazoa; Chordata; Mammalia; Rodentia; Muridae. The record is from RNAcentral.
UUCCAGAUGUCCACAGCAAGCCAAUCGCUCAC